Molecule: ribosomal RNA, 2902 nt
Filed under: Escherichia coli
Lineage: Bacteria; Pseudomonadati; Pseudomonadota; Gammaproteobacteria; Enterobacterales; Enterobacteriaceae
Also listed under: 1 other name
Description: bacterial LSU rRNA
Rfam family: Bacterial large subunit ribosomal RNA
Source: RNAcentral
UUAAGCGACUAAGCGUACACGGUGGAUGCCCUGGCAGUCAGAGGCGAUGAAGGACGUGCUAAUCUGCGAUAAGCGUCGGUGAGGUGAUAUGAACCGUUAUAACCGGCGAUUUCCGAAUGGGGAAACCCAGUGUGAUUCGUCACACUAUCAUUAACUGAAUCCAUAGGUUAAUGAGGCGAACCGGGGGAACUGAAACAUCUAAGUACCCCGAGGAAAAGAAAUCAACCGAGAUUCCCCCAGUAGCGGCGAGCGAACGGGGAGGAGCCCAGAGCCUGAAUCAGUGUGUGUGUUAGUGGAAGCGUCUGGAAAGGCGUGCGAUACAGGGUGACAGCCCCGUACACAAAAAUGCACAUAUUGUGAGCUCGAUGAGUAGGGCGGGACACGUGGUAUCCUGUCUGAAUAUGGGGGGACCAUCCUCCAAGGCUAAAUACUCCUGACUGACCGAUAGUGAACCAGUACCGUGAGGGAAAGGCGAAAAGAACCCCGGCGAGGGGAGUGAAAAAGAACCUGAAACCGUGUACGUACAAGCAGUGGGAGCCUCUUAAUGGGGUGACUGCGUACCUUUUGUAUAAUGGGUCAGCGACUUAUAUUCUGUAGCAAGGUUAACCGAAUAGGGGAGCCGAAGGGAAACCGAGUCUUAACUGGGCGUUAAGUUGCAGGGUAUAGACCCGAAACCCGGUGAUCUAGCCAUGGGCAGGUUGAAGGUUGGGUAACACUAACUGGAGGACCGAACCGACUAAUGUUGAAAAAUUAGCGGAUGACUUGUGGCUGGGGGUGAAAGGCCAAUCAAACCGGGAGAUAGCUGGUUCUCCCCGAAAGCUAUUUAGGUAGCGCCUCGUGAAUUCAUCUCCGGGGGUAGAGCACUGUUUCGGCAAGGGGGUCAUCCCGACUUACCAACCCGAUGCAAACUGCGAAUACCGGAGAAUGUUAUCACGGGAGACACACGGCGGGUGCUAACGUCCGUCGUGAAGAGGGAAACAACCCAGACCGCCAGCUAAGGUCCCAAAGUCAUGGUUAAGUGGGAAACGAUGUGGGAAGGCCCAGACAGCCAGGAUGUUGGCUUAGAAGCAGCCAUCAUUUAAAGAAAGCGUAAUAGCUCACUGGUCGAGUCGGCCUGCGCGGAAGAUGUAACGGGGCUAAACCAUGCACCGAAGCUGCGGCAGCGACACUAUGUGUUGUUGGGUAGGGGAGCGUUCUGUAAGCCUGUGAAGGUGGCCUGUGAGGGUUGCUGGAGGUAUCAGAAGUGCGAAUGCUGACAUAAGUAACGAUAAAGCGGGUGAAAAGCCCGCUCGCCGGAAGACCAAGGGUUCCUGUCCAACGUUAAUCGGGGCAGGGUGAGUCGACCCCUAAGGCGAGGCCGAAAGGCGUAGUCGAUGGGAAACAGGUUAAUAUUCCUGUACUUGGUGUUACUGCGAAGGGGGGACGGAGAAGGCUAUGUUGGCCGGGCGACGGUUGUCCCGGUUUAAGCGUGUAGGCUGGUUUUCCAGGCAAAUCCGGAAAAUCAAGGCUGAGGCGUGAUGACGAGGCACUACGGUGCUGAAGCGACAAAUGCCCUGCUUCCAGGAAAAGCCUCUAAGCAUCAGGUAACAUCAAAUCGUACCCCAAACCGACACAGGUGGUCAGGUAGAGAAUACCAAGGCGCUUGAGAGAACUCGGGUGAAGGAACUAGGCAAAAUGGUGCCGUAACUUCGGGAGAAGGCACGCUGAUAUGUAGGUGAAGCGACUUGCUCGUGGAGCUGAAAUCAGUCGAAGAUACCAGCUGGCUGCAACUGUUUAUUAAAAACACAGCACUGUGCAAACACGAAAGUGGACGUAUACGGUGUGACGCCUGCCCGGUGCCGGAAGGUUAAUUGAUGGGGUUAGCGGCAACGCGAAGCUCUUGAUCGAAGCCCCGGUAAACGGCGGCCGUAACUAUAACGGUCCUAAGGUAGCGAAAUUCCUUGUCGGGUAAGUUCCGACCUGCACGAAUGGCGUAAUGAUGGCCAGGCUGUCUCCACCCGAGACUCAGUGAAAUUGAACUCGCUGUGAAGAUGCAGUGUACCCGCGGCAAGACGGAAAGACCCCGUGAACCUUUACUAUAGCUUGACACUGAACAUUGAGCCUUGAUGUGUAGGAUAGGUGGGAGGCUUUGAAGUGUGGACGCCAGUCUGCAUGGAGCCGACCUUGAAAUACCACCCUUUAAUGUUUGAUGUUCUAACGUUGGCCCGUAAUCCGGGUUGCGGACAGUGUCUGGUGGGUAGUUUGACUGGGGCGGUCUCCUCCUAAAGAGUAACGGAGGAGCACGAAGGUUGGCUAAUCCUGGUCGGACAUCAGGAGGUUAGUGCAAUGGCAUAAGCCAGCUUGACUGCGAGCGUGACGGCGCGAGCAGGUGCGAAAGCAGGUCAUAGUGAUCCGGUGGUUCUGAAUGGAAGGGCCAUCGCUCAACGGAUAAAAGGUACUCCGGGGAUAACAGGCUGAUACCGCCCAAGAGUUCAUAUCGACGGCGGUGUUUGGCACCUCGAUGUCGGCUCAUCACAUCCUGGGGCUGAAGUAGGUCCCAAGGGUAUGGCUGUUCGCCAUUUAAAGUGGUACGCGAGCUGGGUUUAGAACGUCGUGAGACAGUUCGGUCCCUAUCUGCCGUGGGCGCUGGAGAACUGAGGGGGGCUGCUCCUAGUACGAGAGGACCGGAGUGGACGCAUCACUGGUGUUCGGGUUGUCAUGCCAAUGGCACUGCCCGGUAGCUAAAUGCGGAAGAGAUAAGUGCUGAAAGCAUCUAAGCACGAAACUUGCCCCGAGAUGAGUUCUCCCUGACCCUUUAAGGGUCCUGAAGGAACGUUGAAGACGACGACGUUGAUAGGCCGGGUGUGUAAGCGCAGCGAUGCGUUGAGCUAACCGGUACUAAUGAACCGUGAGGCUUAACCUU